This 75-nucleotide non-coding RNA is filed under the name unclassified sequences. The record is from RNAcentral.
GGCGGCAGCGGUCGCCCGCGUAAUGCAGCCUACUAAGGUAGCCAGUCCUAAGCCUGGGUAAAUGCAGAAGGCGAA